UGAGGGUAUGUAUCCCCCUCUCCCUCCAGUGCGGAAAAGAAAUGGGUCGGCUCCCUAUAAGAAGUGAAAAAUUGUGAAAUAUAGGAGUGCCAGUUAAGUUGGGUUUUUGUAUGCUUUUCCACUAAGCACCAAACAGUAACUAACUGCGUGAUUAUGGGGCCAAACCAUAACUUACAGUGUCUGAGAGCAAUAUUUGAGUAGAUUAAAUCUUGGUGUCUGUAUGGGUACACCAAACUUUCUUCCAGGGAGCGCCAAAAGACAGGAGCAACUAAUCCACUUAUUUAUAUUUUUCCCUUUUAAUGGCUUUCUUCUCCUGGAAAUAACUAAUCUCCUUGGACCUACAAAAUAGCUCUGGUAAGAUGUCAGUUUCCUGAAAGAUCCCCACCUGAUGUCAGGUACUAUUAGAGAGAAGCUCAGCAAUGCCAGCAAGGUUCUGAAGAGGAAGCUGCAACAAAGUUCCAACCUCGCCCCAUAGAAGAAGCAUGGAAAACUGCCUUUGCUACCUGCCAGAGGAUCCAAGCCAUUAUGCUGAUGGUUGGCCAUACAAGUACCUCAUCUCGUUGCCCAGUACCAACACGAAGUGAAAAGAAGGUGUGGGCUAUAGUGGCGGAUGACUUCAGAGGAGCCGAAUGCUGUGUUCUAGUGGAACCCGAAGUAUCAAUAUCAGUAUCAGUAGCUUGCCAUGCUGCCACCACCUGGUUGCCCAGGACACUGAUAACUGGAAGGGAAGAAGGAAAGAAAGAUGACCACAGUGACCAAGGAGUAACAACACCAGAGACAAGGUUACCUCAAAAUGAACUUUAUCAUAACUAAUUAAACAGCAAUCAAACAGAGCUUCUUCUGAAAUGAAGCCUCCUCACUUCUGGCUCUUUCCUUCAGCUGCCGCUGCUGUCCUCCUGAACUGUAAUAUUUAUUCCCGCUGCAGUACUUCAGUUUGCUCACUCCCAAUUUUACAGAAACACUCCUGUAUUCAGUAUCAGUAUGUUUACAUUCCCUCAUACCUUCCACUCCCACUUUUAUGUGUGCAUGCAAUUAAAGUUAAAAAAAAUCCUUUAUUUAAAAGCAUGUCCACACAUGGGGGAGGGGCUUCAUAGAUAGAACAGGGACCCUCAUGCUGUACCUGGACUGCAUUUUAUUUACAAAUCACAACUUCAACCGACUAAUGUAAAGUGAUUGCAGUUCUAGACAUCGCUAGUAAAAAGCCUCUGUUCUUUUUUCAGUGAACCUGGUACUGCAACUAAGACUCCAUUCACACUUGUGAUUUAAGUAGGCCUUAAAUCAUAUGUGAACGCUUCAAAAAAGAAAAGGCAGCCCAGGGCUGGCCUAGAUUUAGGCCAUCGUUUCGUUGUGGUCCAAGGCCUUCAAACCGGGACCAGGGCCAGCCUCUACAUGUAAAUGAAUGCAAAGCAGACAUAGGGCUGCCUUUUCUAUCACAUUACCAAUUUGAUUAUGUAGCACAGUAGCAGGGAUCAUAGGAAUCCGGAAUUCAGUUUACUUCAGUCAGUGUCCAGAGCUGUUAAAAGAUGCCAAAAACUCUAAGU
Molecule: long non-coding RNA, 1541 nt
Organism: Acipenser ruthenus (sterlet)
Lineage: Eukaryota; Metazoa; Chordata; Actinopteri; Acipenseriformes; Acipenseridae
Exons: 4
Source: RefSeq, a predicted model, not a curated record